Long non-coding RNA from Lycium barbarum (goji berry), 5949 nucleotides. RefSeq lists it as uncharacterized. NCBI's taxonomy places the organism in Eukaryota, Viridiplantae, Streptophyta, Magnoliopsida, Solanales, Solanaceae. The transcript is spliced from 3 exons. The record is from RefSeq and is a predicted model, not a curated record.
AGUCUAAUAAUAUCAAUGGGUUGGUUAAGUGGAUGGGCACCACUGGAAAGUAAACGUUGGACCCUUCACCAUUUUAUAUAAGUUUUAUAUAGGAAAAAUUCAUACAUAUGUAUGUAGCAGAUUGCAUUUUCGAAAUAUUACGAGAAUGGUUACUUAGAGAUCUGAAAUGCAUCAUAAUAAAUUGAAGGGAGUCGACCAACGAAAGAGGCAUGUGAAGAACAUAAUCCAGUAAAAGAACAUUUAAGGAAGUAUUGGGAGCGCAGGGCUAAUUUAACAUUCGAGGACGAAUGUUCUAAAGGGGGGAAGGAUGUUACAUCCCGUAUUUUCAUGUGUUGGAAAGGGUGCGAGUUAAAUGAUAUUAGUAACGAAAAUGAGGUUAUCCUCCCAAGUUUGUGGGUGGUUGUAGUAAUGAUACAGAUGUGUUAUAAAUAUUUGAAGUUAAACAAAUCUAAGAAAAUAAGUUUUGUCGAGGUUCGAAAUUUAUUUGAUGAAAUACGGUCCAAGCUAUAAUAUCCCGUAUUUUUGGACUAGAAAAAUUUAAUCGUCCAAUAUGAGCAAAAUUUACACGAGCACGGAGGAUUUGAUCAUAUUCAAGUAUGCAAAUUAAGAACUCGGUGUAUAAGAGGAUGAAGUCCCGAAAUGAUUUAAGACGGUAAAAAGUGACAUCGAUGAUUGGAAAUAAUAUUUUAUGUGUGGCAAAAGAGGCCAUGAACUAGUGACAUAUCAUAGGAGCAUAAAAUGUGUAUAUAAGGUGUGCUAAAAAAAUCAUUACUAUUUAAGUGAACUGAGAGCAAGAGACUAGUUAUGUGGAUAAAUUAAAAGUGGCCGAAGGUAGCGUGAAACAAAAAUGAUUAGUCAAAAUAUUUGCAUGAUGCUAAGAGGACAACAUUUAUAUGCGGGUCCCACAAAGGGAUAAUCAUUAUAGAUAAUAUUGGACAAGGACAUAUGUUUGGUCCAAGGGCAGUACGUGCUUCAUUCUUAUACAAUUACAGGAAGUUGCAUAAUUCACCAAAUGCUACGUUAAAUAAUAGUAAUGAGUGUCAUGUGUCCUUGUCAUGUGAAUUAGACAAAAGUGGCAUGAAGCGUUAUGGGUGAGUCAUAAAGCACAUAAAGUGCAUGGGGAUACGUUUAAGGCCAAGGAAGUGAAUGCCUUUUUGCAUUUACAAUGGCUGCACAUUACUUUCUACUUGGAGAAUUCCCAUUUUUACAUUGCUUUCAUUUUUGCUUCUUAAGAAACGUACCAGCACCCCUAAAUUAAAACAUUCUCUCUUAGCUAAUCAUUUUGUUUCUUAAGAAAAUUAGCAUUAACCAUGGCUGCCAAGCUCACGGCCAUGGCAGUCCACAAUAAGGCUCAAUAUUUUGAUAGCAAAAUAAAAUAAAAUAAAUAAAUAAAUAAUCUCCGUGGUGUUCUAAGUGUUUGAGGGAGCAGCAAGAUCAGAAGUUAAAGUUGAAGAAGAUGAAAUGGGCAAAUUGUGCAAGUUAUUGGAAGAUCUGUCCUAAUUAUAUUUGAGGUAGACAGGGAGGUGAGCUUGAUCCAGAUUCUUAGUAGCUGUCAGCUGAUUGAGAGCACUCCAUUGUUCGGAGGUGCUUAUGUUUAUUCUUUUGGCUCCUUUAUGUAUUUCGCGCACAACGGAGUCUUGUUCCGUCUAUAUGUAUAAUAUGUCAGUAGAGGCUCGUAGAUGCGCAGUGUGGGUUAGAUGGUCUCACAAGAUUACUAUGUUAUAUUUGUAUAAGUUAUUUUGAUGGCCUAAGGGGCACAUGUAUAAUAAAAUCAUUUGUGUUGUCAAAUGAAAAAUGGUUGUCUUAUGAUUAUGAGAUUAUGAAUGAUAAAGAAAUGUAAAAUGGUUAUGACGAGUGAGGAAACGAGCGGUGCUCGGUGGUUAGUCCCGGGUACCCAUCGCGGCCCUAGUCGGGUCGUGACAGAAGUGGUAUCAGAGCAGUUCAGUCCUACGAAGUGUCUACGAGCCGUGUCUAGUAGAGUCUUGUUUAUCGGUGUGUUGUGCACCACAUCUAUAAACAGGAAACUACAGGACAUUUAGGAUGUUACCUUUCUUUCAUUUUUAAGAUCGUGCGAUAGAGCCCAGCCAUAGGAAAUGACAUUCCUUAUACUAACCCUUGAUUUCAGCUGAAGAACGGCAUCGUCAGACGAAAAUGACUAAUGAUAUUGGAAGCUACAAAGUACACAUGUAAGCAACGGUGCGAAAGAUGCAUGUCGGAUAAGGUAAGAAUACUGAAGCAUGAUUAAAAUGUAAAGUUGGCGGAUGAAAGAGAAAAUAAAUAGGAAGGAAUAACGGGUACAGUUUGAGUUGGACGUGCGAGGUUAUUCCUCAAGUUUAUAAAUGUGUUAAAAGUGGUUCAUAUUUAAGUAAAUCAUGAUCAAGAAAAUAAGUACAUGAUUAACUGGUUAAAGACAUUGAACUAAAAUGGAGGGAGAGGAAUUUAUUUGUUAUAUUAUUAGGUGAGGAUUAAAGUAGUUUAAGUAUUGUACUAUGGAUAAAUUUUGAUGUGGCAACACUCUAUAUACUUGGAAGCAUGGCAAAUAAAUUAAUAGUGACUCAAGACAUUCGUACAAAUGCCCACAAAGUUUUAUCUUUGGAUGCCAUUUCAGUGGUGGACCCCACGGCUAUGAUGGUGAAUAAUUUAAAUGUUCCUCAAUUGAUAUAUCAUUAUCUGUGUAAUUGAGUAAAUUGGGGAUCAUGAUAGAAGUAAAUAAAUCAAUUGAAAUGGCUGGAUAAUUUUUUUUGAAUGAAUGGGCAUAUGUCCGUGUGACUCAUGGCUAGGUGGCAGAAGGUUGAGGUGUGUUUGUGUUUAUAUAACUGAUGGCAGCCUUAAGUGAUUAUAAUUUAAGAGAUUGUGGACAGGAAAUUAUUUAAUAAUUGUAGUGGGAAACAAGUCUAUUAGUUAAAGAAUAAAGUGACAAGUGCCAUAAUCAACAUGACUACGUGUCUCCAUAAAUGUGAUUAAAUAUUUAAGUUAAAAAAAAAAAUAUAUGUGUAUAAUUGACUAAAUGAGGAAUAUGGUGGAGGAAUGAAUUAAUUUGUUAGUAAUGGAUAAGUGUAAAUGUAACACUUCCAGGUGGUACCAUUUUAAGGUAUUAGUGACUAAGCAAUUAAUUCAUUAGUGGUGACAUUUGAUAAACAAUUUUCUGAAGUGGUAUAAAGUUAUACGGGCCCCAAGGUCAACUAAGGGAACAAGUAAUUAAUUACAUGAGAUAAAGUGAAGCAGUUACAAUUAGCAUAAAGGGGACAGGUGUGAUAUUUUACAUGCUACGUGUGGGCAUGUCAAGCAAGCAAUAUAUGACUAAGACUAUUUGGUAGAAUUGGUGGCUGAUUCAAUUGAGAUAAUAAAGUCUAAUAAUAUCAAUAGGUUGGUUAAGUGGAUGGGCACCACUGGAAAGUAAACGUUGGACCCUUCACCAUUUUAUAUAAGUUUUAUAUAGGAAAAAUUCAUACAUAUGUAUGUAGCAGAUUGCAUUUUCGAAAUAUUACGAGAAUGGUUACUUAGAGAUCUGAAAUGCAUCAUAAUAAAUUGAAGGGAGUCGACCAACGAAAGAGGCAUGUGAAGAACAUAAUCCAGUAAAAGAACAUUUAAGGAAGUAUUGGGAGCGCAGGGCUAAUUUAACAUUCGAGGACGAAUGUUCUAAAGGGGGGAAGGAUGUUACAUCCCGUAUUUUCAUGUGUUGGAAAGGGUGCGAGUUAAAUGAUAUUAGUAACGAAAAUGAGGUUAUCCUCCCAAGUUUGUGGGUGGUUGUAGUAAUGAUACAGAUGUGUUAUAAAUAUUUGAAGUUAAACAAAUCUAAGAAAAUAAGUUUUGUCGAGGUUCGAAAUUUAUUUGAUGAAAUACGGUCCAAGCUAUAAUAUCCCGUAUUUUUGGACUAGAAAAAUUUAAUCGUCCAAUAUGAGCAAAAUUUACACGAGCACGGAGGAUUUGAUCAUAUUCAAGUAUGCAAAUUAAGAACUCGGUGUAUAAGAGGAUGAAGUCCCGAAAUGAUUUAAGACGGUAAAAAGUGACAUCGAUGAUUGGAAAUAAUAUUUUAUGUGUGGCAAAAGAGGCCAUGAACUAGUGACAUAUCAUAGGAGCAUAAAAUGUGUAUAUAAGGUGUGCUAAAAAAAUCAUUACUAUUUAAGUGAACUGAGAGCAAGAGACUAGUUAUGUGGAUAAAUUAAAAGUGGCCGAAGGUAGCGUGAAACAAAAAUGAUUAGUCAAAAUAUUUGCAUGAUGCUAAGAGGACAACAUUUAUAUGCGGGUCCCACAAAGGGAUAAUCAUUAUAGAUAAUAUUGGACAAGGACAUAUGUUUGGUCCAAGGGCAGUACGUGUUUCAUUCUUAUACAAUUACAGGAAGUUGCAUAAUUCACCAAAUGCUAAGUUAAAUAAUAGUAAUGAGUGUCAUGUGUCCUUGUCAUGUGAAUUAGACAAAAGUGGCAUGAAGCGUUAUGGGUGAGUCAUAAAGCACAUAAAGUGCAUGGGGAUACGUUUAAGGCCAAGGAAGUGAAUGCCUUUUUGCAUUUACAAUGGCUGCACAUUACUUUCUACUUGGAGAAUUCCCAUUUUUACAUUGCUUUCAUUUUUGCUUCUUAAGAAACGUACCAGCACCCCUAAAUUAAACCAUUCUCUCUUAGCUAAUCAUUUUGUUUCUUAAGAAAAUUAGCAUUAACCAUGGCUGCCAAGCUCACGGCCAUGGCAGUCCACAAUAAGGCUCAAUAUUUUGAUAGCAAAAUGAAAUAAAAUAAAUAAAUAAAUAAUCUCCGAGGUGUUCUAAGUGUUUGAGGGAGCAGCAAGAUCAGAAGUUAAAGUUGAAGAAGAUGAAAUGGGCAAAUUGUGCAAGUUAUUGGAAGAUCUGUCCUAAUUAUAUUUGAGACCUGCGAGCUCGAGAAGUAGACGUUGGACAUUAGAUAGAGUUCAAGGUAUGUGAGGCUAGUCCUUUCUUUCUAUGGCAUGAAUCUUAUAGCUUGACUCUCUUUUUAUCCAUGAGUUUCCUUAAGUUCCGAAAAAUACGAGUCUAUGUCCAUAAUUAGACACACAAGGUAAUGAGUAAAGUAUAGAAAUCCCAAUACUCAUGUUGUGAUGAUCCUAUGAUGUUAAUGAUGUUAUUUAUUGCUUACACUCACCUUAUAUGCUAAUUCCUUCAAGGUGAGGCAGGAUGCCAAUGAAUGUUCCAUAAUGACGUCGGAAGCCACCGACUUUACGUCACUCCGAUAUAGUUAUGGCUUUUGAUUGGACUCUUAUGCAUGCUUUAUAUAUAUACGUAUGUAUUUUCUCACACCGCGCCGCGCUAUAGUCGGUCGGGCAGGCACGUAGAUGUGCACACCACUAUAGUGGGCAGCUUAUACCCCGGACGCGGGAGGCCUGGAUGCAGGCUAUGAUUAUCACACCGCUCCUACCUGGACGGGCAGCUUAUACAUUAUCACACCGUACCUAUAUGGACGGGCAGCGUAUAUGUGUAUACAUACAUGGUAAUGAUUAUGAGUAAGUGAGCAUGCAUUAUUUCAGUUAUUUUUGAUAGCCAGUACAGAUUGCCCUUUCUUGAUGCCUCCUUUAUCUCAUUGAUGCCUUCAUAUUUCAUUGAUAUAUUGCUAUUGUUUAUGCCUCUCAUACUCAGUACAAUAUUCGUACUGACGUCCGUUUUCUUCGGACGCUGUGUUCAUGCCCACAGGUAGACAGGGAGGUGAGCUUGAUCCAGAUUCUUAGUAGCUGUCAGCUGAUUGAGAGCACUCCAUUGUUCGGAGGUGCUUAUGUUUAUUCUUUUGGCUCCUUUAUGUAUUUCGCGCACGACGGAGUCUUGUUCCGUCUAUAUGUAUAAUAUGUCAGUAGAGGCUCGUAGAUGCGCAGUGUGGGUUAGAUGGUCUCACAAGAUUACUAUGUUAUAUUUGUAUAUGUUAUUUUGAUGGCCUAAGGGGCACAUGUAUAAUAAAAUCAUUUGUGUUGUCAAAUGAAAAAUGGUUGUCUUA